UAUCUUACACCGUGGUGCCGGCUCAGCCCUCCCCGAUGCUACUGCGGUAGCGGUCGAAAAAGCGCCGAAAGAAGAUAUGGAACGACUAAUAUCGAGCCUGUCGGAGGGUCCAGCUCAAGUGUCUACAUCCCUAAUGAUUCAGCUUUUCAGUACUGUGUACAGCUAGAAGAUGCCUUUGGGCUAUGAAUAUACGAUAACACUCCAAGAAGAAAUCAGACCUGAUGAUGAACAUAUCAACCAAAUCAAUGACAAGGAGGCCACCCAAGGGCAUGACUCUUGGCAUAGAGUUUCGGAUCUGUGAACACCGCCUAUUGACUGUAAGUCAAGACAAGGUCGACGAGCUGAACAAUGCUCUCCGCGGCAAGUCAGUAAGUGAUUGCUUUCUGUUAAUUCAAUUACACUUCCUUUGGUUUUUGUCACAAGCUGUUAGUGUAUAUGUCAACUCUACCCAUUUUACGUAACGUUUACGAAUUCGGAGGCACCUAAGCCGGCCCUGACCCACUUACAUGUUUAUCGAAGUGGAGAAAAGCAUUCGAACUUAAAAUAAGCUAUUUAAUAAACACUUUUUCACGAAAAGUACUUCGAUGCAUUUCACCAGAAGUGGAUUUAUUGGCAAUCAAACGCGGCGUUCGCG
RNAcentral lists this long non-coding RNA (634 nucleotides) under Dermacentor andersoni. RNAcentral's name for it is "uncharacterized LOC126520836". Lineage: Eukaryota; Metazoa; Arthropoda; Arachnida; Ixodida; Ixodidae. The record is from RNAcentral.